This 2955-nucleotide unclassified non-coding RNA is filed under the name Hevea brasiliensis (rubber tree). Lineage: Eukaryota; Viridiplantae; Streptophyta; Magnoliopsida; Malpighiales; Euphorbiaceae. The record is from RNAcentral.
GCAUCUUAUGGAUGGUCUCAUUUCAUACACUUUUCAGUCAGAGGAUGCACAGUGCUCUUUAUUCCACAACAUUGUCAGGGAGCUUCUUGCUUGUGUUGUAAUGCGACCAGUAUUAAAUAUAGCUAAUCCAAGGUUCAUCAACGAGAGGAUUGAGUCUCUAGUUGUUUCUGUAAAGAAGGGUGAUAAAGGGAACACAGCAGCAGAAACUGAACCACAGUCCAGGCCGGUUGGAUCUGGUAAAAUAUCAGCAGAUCAUUUUUCUCGGGUUUUAGAUCCUUCUGCCAAGGGCGUAGAGCUUGUACAACUAAAAAAUGACCAACCUAAUAACACUGAGGAGCAUGCCAUGAACACUAUGAAUGGAACAGAUUUGUUGUUGGACCCUUUGCUUUCACUUGAUGCUCGGUCUACUCGUUCUUGGAGUUCUUUGCCAUCACAAGCCGAUGCAGAUGACGGAAGAGGUAUUCAUAGACACCACUCUGGAGGAGAGUGGGGUGAAAGGCUAGAUUUGCUUUCUCGUAGAAAGACUGAAGCCCUGGCCCCUGAAAAUUUAGACAAUAUAUGGGCAAAAGGCAGAAACUAUAAACGGAAAGAAGAGGCCAAUCUAGCAUCUGAUAAACUCAAGAAGAGUUCGUUGGUAAGUGCACCAAAAUCACCAGGACACUCAAAGGAAGCUAAACAGAAAGAGAGUGAGAGAGAAAACAAGGUUGGAGCUAAGCAUUAUGUGAAGGACAAUGCUCCCUCGCAAGGUGAUUUGAAAAGACCAAUUUAUCCUCCAGAUUACUCGUAUCAAGAGGAAAAUGAACAUAGCUCAGAUGAGGAUGAAUCAGAGAGCACUAGUUCUUACACUACUGAAGAUGAAGAACCCAGCAGUGUGACUGGUUUUGACUCUCCAGGAACUCAAGUGUGGGAUGGGAAAAAUAUAAGGAAUGUCAAUCACAUUCAUCAUCCACUUGAAAAUAAUGAAGGCCAUAAGAGAAGAAAUGGAAAAGCUAGUAAAACACAUAUUCGCUCUAAACACUUAAAUAGAGUACUGUCUGGACGGAAAAGGUCUAGAUUAAGCAACCAAACGGAAGACUUGUGGCAAGAGACACAAAGAACCAGCUUCUUACAGGGAGAUGGACAAGAUAUAUUAAAAUCCAAAGAAAAUGUGAAACCGGAUGGUCCAAGUGAUGACUCUGAGACAGAAAUAUUCAGUAGAAUUUCUAGUGACACUAACGCAUCAUCAUAUGUAUCGUCAAGAAGCUUUUCGGAAAUUCAUAGUAUGGGUCCUUAUUCUACAACAGGUUCUAUAAUUGCUGAUUCUUUUUUGAAAUUAAGAAGUGAGGUCCUGAGUGCUAAUAUCGUAAGAAGUGGCUCCAAAACUUUUGCUGUUUAUUCCAUAUCUGUUACAGACAUGAACAACAAUAGUUGGUCUAUCAAAAGAAGGUUUCAACAUUUUGAGGAGCUACACUGGCGUCUUAAGGAGUUUCCGGAGUACAAUCUUCAUUUACCUCCCAAGCAUUUCCUCUCUUCAAGUCUGGAUGUUCCUGUCAUUCGAGAACGGUGCAAAUCACUUGACAUAUAUUUGAAGAAACUUUUGCUGCUCCCAACUGUUUCCAACUCCAUCGAAGUAUGGGACUUCCUCAGUGUGGAUUCACAGACAUAUAGCUUCUCAAACUCCUUGUCCAUAAUUGAAACAUUACAGGCUGACCUGGACAGGACUGUACGCCAAAAGAGUAAAGAACCUCCGCAUGGCAUAAGCCCUCGAACUGAUCUGUUAUCCUCCAAGGGGAAGCAUUCUACAGAAAGCAAGAAUCUGACUUCAAGGAUAGAACACGAUCAUGCAGGACAUGAAUCAAGGUUCAGGAAAGAUUAUGUUGCACUCUCUCCUCCAAAAAGACCUCUCACAGAAACUUUUGAGGAUUCAAAUAGUGACAACAAGGUGCAUGCAAAUAGAAAAUCAACCCCAAACAUGCAGACGACAUCAAAAUCAGUUGAAACUAACUCACUUGCAUCACCUGAAUCUCUUGUUGCUGCUACCGUGGAUCCUAUCUUUCCCAGUGAGUGGGUGCCACCAAAUUUAACUGUGCCUAUAUUAGAUCUUGUCGACGUCAUUUUUCAGCUCCAAGAUGGUGGAUGGAUCAGGAGGAAUGCAUUCUGGGUGGCUAAACAGGUUUUACAACUAGGAAUGGGUGAUGCAUUUGAUGAUUGGCUGAUUGAGAAAAUCCAGCGUCUGCGCAGGGGUUCAGUAGUUGCAGCAGGUAUCCAACGUGUUGAGCAGAUUCUCUGGCCGGAUGGUAUAUUCAUCACAAAGCACCCAGCACGUCAACAUCCUGCUCCCACCUCAUCCCCUAAUUGUCCUCCAGGCCAACCUUCAACUCCAUUAUCUUCGCCCAGGCUGGAGAAUUCACAGAAACUGGAUGAGAUGCAGAAACUAGAAGCAGAGCAACGUGCAAAAUUUGUUUAUGAGCUAAUGAUUGAUAAGGCACCAGCUGCUAUUGUAGGACUUGUUGGUCACAAAGAAUACGAACAGUGUGCAAAGGAUCUUUAUUACUUCAUCCAGUCAUCUGUGUGUAUGAAGCAGUUAGUCCUUGAUCUUCUCGAGCUAUUACUGGUGUCCGCAUUCCCAGAGCUGACUUCUGUAUUUAACACAUUGCAUGAGGAGAAGGAGAGAUUUGGAGAACUCAAAAUAGAUUAAGUGGAUCGUUUGCCAAAAUGCCAUUUUUCGUCGUACAAUUUUAAGGGAAAUCGUCAACAAGUUUAUCCCGUUAAUCAUGGUAUUCUUUCUGUGGAAGCACAAAAUGCUAGGUUCAUUUUGUCAAAUAUGUUGUCUGGAAAUCCACAAAUGAUGGAUUAGUAAAUAGCAAGAUAUGACUUAUUUAGACUGAAUUUGAAUAUUUAAGAUGAAGAUAGAGUUUGGAUAUAGAUUCUCAAAUAUUCUUAUGACUGGUCAUUUUUGGGUGAAGUUUCAUUAUG